RNAcentral lists this long non-coding RNA (431 nucleotides) under Anas platyrhynchos platyrhynchos (common mallard). Its description in RNAcentral is "lncRNA (ENSAPLG00000024377.1)". The record is from RNAcentral. Lineage: Eukaryota; Metazoa; Chordata; Aves; Anseriformes; Anatidae.
GCAGGGUCCCCGGAUGCAACCUGGUCCAAGCCCUGCUCCAGCAGGGACACCCAGAGCAGAGCACCCAGGGCCAUCUCACAUUUUUAAUGUGAAGAGUACUAGAAGGGAAUGAUAGAGUUGCCUGGAGUGUUGAGUUCUGCAAUUUAAUGAACACGUGUUAAAGUAAUGGAAGGAAUCCAUCUGAUUCAUGCACUUCAGUUUUGAACAUUUCUGUCAGCACUUCUAGCGUGAUGCUUUGGACGCAGUGCUGGGAGUCAUUGAGGGCCCCACUGGUGGAAACCACCUGCAGCAGAGGCUUUAGUGUCUUAGAGACUCAGGAAACUUACCACUUUAGUCAAAAUGGCUGUAUUGAGGUAGCCUGGCUUGUUUUUUAUACAUCUGGAGGAAGACAUUUGCCAUCCAAGGUGUGGAGUUCCAGAACAACCUCCUAG